GAUAAACGCUGGCGGCGUGCCUAAUGCAUGCAAGUCGCACGGAGUGUCCUUUCGGAGGCAUUGAGUGGCGAACGGGUGAGGAACGCGUGGACAACCUACCCCGGCGUGGGGAGUACCCGCCAGAAAUGGCGGCUAAUACCGCGUACGGUCCAGGGGCGACGGGCUACCUGGAAGAAAGCAGUGAUGCGCGCUGGGAGGGGUCUGCGGCCGAUUAGCUCGUUGGCGGGGUAAUGCUCACCAAGGCGAUGAUCGGUAGCUGGUCUGAGAGGAUGAUCAGCCACACGGGGACUGAGACACGGCCCCGACU
RNAcentral lists this ribosomal RNA (307 nucleotides) under uncultured bacterium. Its description in RNAcentral is "bacterial SSU rRNA". It matches the Rfam family "Bacterial small subunit ribosomal RNA", at positions 28 to 337 of the family's 1533-position model. The record is from RNAcentral.